Long non-coding RNA from Saccostrea echinata, 594 nucleotides. RefSeq lists it as uncharacterized. The record is from RefSeq and is a predicted model, not a curated record. NCBI's taxonomy places the organism in Eukaryota, Metazoa, Mollusca, Bivalvia, Ostreida, Ostreidae. The transcript has 3 exons.
UUAAGGUGGACUCUUAAACCACAGAGAUAAUUCGUACACAAGGAAUUGUUGAAACUCAUCACAACUAAUUUGCAUAACCGCAACCUUUCUGCCUGAAGUCAUUAACGAUUAUUAUGUGGUAGUUAUAAAGAGAAUCCUGUAAAUGCUGUUUUAAAGUAAAAAUCAACAACCGUCAAAAUACAAGUUCUAUCCGGAUCAGAAACAAGAGGAUGUUGGAUUCCAAAUACUUUGCUAUAUUUGUAUUAAACAUUAUGAUAAACAAUAUUUUUGGAAGUGUAAUCCCAACUGUUGGAACCGAGACAUUAACGAAUUCCACAAAUACAUCACAAGUUCACUUGGGGGAUAAUGUUCUGGGUCAAGCUCUGGACAUUAACAUUAAUGUUGAGGCAAAGAUUAAAGAGCCUGUCACCGCUAGUCUGGAUUUAAGUAAAGUCAAUCUAAAAGUGCUUUGUUCGAUUUUCAAAGAUUUAUGUCAAAACCAGUAUGACAGUUGGGGUGGAUAAAGAAACAGAAGAAGAAUUUUAUGUUGAUGUAUGUAAAAAUUUAAAAAAAAAAAAAGGAAAGAAAACAAUAAACAAAUUAUCGCAUUUAAAA